This 292-nucleotide ribosomal RNA is filed under the name uncultured bacterium. RNAcentral's name for it is "partial 16S ribosomal RNA". It matches the Rfam family "Bacterial small subunit ribosomal RNA", at positions 505 to 796 of the family's 1533-position model. The record is from RNAcentral.
GUGCCAGCCGCCGCGGUAAUACAGAGGUGGCAAGCGUUGCUCGGUAUCACUGGGCUUAAAGGGCGCGUAGGCGGUGCGGUACGGUUUCGGUGAAAUCCCUCGGCCCAACCGAGGAACAGCCGGGGCUACGGCCGCGCUAGACGGCAUCAGGGGACAGUGGAACUCCCGGUGGAGCGGUGAAAUGCGUAGAUAUCGGGAGGAACGCCGGUGGCGAAAGCGACUGUCUGGGGUGCCUGUGACGCUGAGGCGCGAAAGCCAGGGGAUCAAACGGGAUUAGAAACCCCCGUAGUCC